UACAGAGGUGGCAAGCGUUGUUCGGAAUUACUGGGCGUAAAGGGCGCGUAGGCGGCCUUCUAAGUCAGACGUGAAAUCCCCCGGCUUAACCUGGGAACUGCGUCUGAUACUGGGAGGCUAGAGUGCGGGAGAGGGAUGCGGAAUUCCAGGUGUAGCGGUGAAAUGCGUAGAUAUCUGGAGGAACACCGGUGGCGAAGGCGGCAUCCUGGACCGACACUGACGCUGAGGCGCGAAAGCCAGGGGAGCAAACGGG
Molecule: ribosomal RNA, 253 nt
Filed under: uncultured bacterium
Lineage: Bacteria
Description: partial 16S ribosomal RNA
Rfam family: Bacterial small subunit ribosomal RNA
Source: RNAcentral